RNAcentral lists this long non-coding RNA (993 nucleotides) under Cottoperca gobio. RNAcentral's name for it is "lncRNA (ENSCGOG00000024314.1)". Lineage: Eukaryota; Metazoa; Chordata; Actinopteri; Perciformes; Bovichtidae. The record is from RNAcentral.
GCAAGCUACACCUGUAGCUUUAGCACUCAGUCAUAGCAACACAAUCAGGGGGGCAGCGACUGCGCAUGACCGCGGCUGAACGACUCGCUGCUGAGGCGGAUAAGUACAAAGAGGCUGCUGGUGGUGGUGCAGACGGGACAUGCUGUGUGCCACGGGGCUGAAGUAUAACCUUGUUGAAGUUUUACGUUAAGUUACUACCUCAACUGGACGAUUUGUCCUCCAAGAAUUUAACUCCAAGGGCAAGCAGAGAGGAGGUGUUGCAUUCAAGUCCAAAAACAGCGUGUGGAGACAUUUGGCGUCGGUCUGCAGGUUGCAUGGUAAUCUGGAUUUGAUGCAUGGCAGUUGCAUGACCACAGUAGGUCUUGUUGUGGGACUAAGAGCACACAGCUGCAGCCAUGGCACAAACCAUGCACGUGAAUGGCAAUGGCCCAGAAUGUGAAAAAUGUUGAGGAAUGCUACGCCCCCCUCUGCAGUGUUGGCAGUAAACAUGCCAACGUGGUCACCUGCUGCAGCGAAAGAAUUUCAAGAAGACAGAGAAACUUAACCUUUUAGUGUAGAGAUGCUCCCCUGUAGUGGGUAAUCUCUAAAUGAUUAAGUUGGGGGGAUCAGUUGGUCGGCCUAAUAUCUUGAGGAAACUAAUCUCACAUUGACUUCUCUGCAUCUGUGUUGUUGGUUUUAGAAACCGAAAUAUUACCAGUUGUAAAGUUUUUUGUUUUGUUUGCUGGUAUCCAUUUUCUUUAAAGGUUUACUCUUUAUUCCAUUCGGCCUGUAAAAUAUUUCUAUAAUGUCGUCUUUUCCUCUGGAGGAGCUUUUGUGCUAUGCAGGGUAAGAGUCUAAUGAAAUGGUAGUGAGUUGCAUUAUGGGAUGUGUAGUAUCCAGUGUUUUCUGAGCAUACUGUUUUUUGUAGCCUUGCCAGCUUAUCUACUUGUGCUGUAUACAGUGAAGAAGUGCCCAACAUAAUAAUCUUUAAUUUAGUAAAACUCUCCACAGCAA